RNAcentral lists this transfer RNA (63 nucleotides) under Formicarius rufipectus. Its description in RNAcentral is "tRNA-Ser". The record is from RNAcentral. Lineage: Eukaryota; Metazoa; Chordata; Aves; Passeriformes; Formicariidae.
GAGGGGGUUAACCAACUAGAACUGCUAACUCUAGUACCUGAGUCUAAAACCUCAGCCCCCUUA